GACAGAGGGUGCAAACGUUGCUCGGAAUCACUGGACGUAAAGGGCGUGUAGGCGGGAAGGCAAGUCAGAUGUGAAAGCCCCAGGCUCAACCUGGGAACUGCAUUUGAAACUGCCUUUCUUGAGUAUCGGAGAGGAAAGUGGAAUACCUGGUGUAGAGGUGAAAUUCGUAGAUAUCAGGUGGAACACCAGUGGCGAAGGCGGCUUUCUGGACGAUAACUGACGCUGAGACGCGAAAGCGUGGGGAGCAAACAGG
This 253-nucleotide ribosomal RNA is filed under the name uncultured delta proteobacterium. Its description in RNAcentral is "partial 16S ribosomal RNA". It matches the Rfam family "Bacterial small subunit ribosomal RNA", at positions 524 to 776 of the family's 1533-position model. The record is from RNAcentral. Lineage: Bacteria; Deltaproteobacteria.